Betta splendens (Siamese fighting fish) is the source of this 427-nucleotide long non-coding RNA. RefSeq lists it as uncharacterized. The record is from RefSeq and is a predicted model, not a curated record. The transcript is spliced from 3 exons. NCBI's taxonomy places the organism in Eukaryota, Metazoa, Chordata, Actinopteri, Anabantiformes, Osphronemidae.
CAGCACUAAACACCACAGUGAUCUCUGUGUUGUCUGCUGCUCUGGCUGUGCUCGUUGUCGUCUUCCUCCUUUAUUCAGGCAAGAAACUCCAGAACAAAGCUUGUGAUUGUUGCAAAGCCUCGGUUGAUCUGCAAACCAUUGCCAGUGGGGAACAGGAGAAUCAGCAGACAGUUGAGGAUUCGUUGGUUUAUUCUGUAGUGACCUUCACCACUAGGAAAUUCAGCAAAGCAGAGUGAAGAGAAGAAGAACUCCACUGAUGGUUCCUUUCUCUUUUCUAACACGUUCAGCGUUUGGCAUUAGAGCUACGCAGUAGAGAUCUGUAGCAAUCUAUUAACCAAUCAUUAUUGUGUGUUAUUUGUGUUUGUAUUUGUGUGAACAGCAUCCGUGUCUUUUUAUCCCUAGUGAAACAUGUGUUCUACACUAUUAA